GACGAACGCUGGCGGCGUGCCUAAUACAUGCAAGUCGAACGCUUCUUUUCUACCGAGUGCUUGCACUCACUUGAAAAGAGGAGUGGCGGACGGGUGAGUAACACGUGGGUAACCUGCCCAUCAGAGGGGGGUAACACUUGGAAACAGGUGCUAAUACCGCAUAACAGUCGACACCGCAUGGUGUUGAUUUGAAAGACGCUUUCGGGUGUCACUGAUGGAUGGACCCGCGGUGCAUUAGCUAGUUGGUGAGGCAACGGCUCACCAAGGCCAUGAUGCAUAGCCGACCUGAGAGGGUGAUCGGCCACACUGGGACUGAGACACGGCCCAGACUCCUACGGGAGGCAGCAGUAGGGAAUCUUCGGCAAUGGACGAAAGUCUGACCGAGCAACGCCGCGUGAGUGAAGAAGGUUUUCGGAUCGUAAAACUCUGUUGUUAGAGAAGAACAAGUAGGGGAGUAACUGCUCUUACCUUGACGGUAUCUAACCAGAAAGCCACGGCUAACUACGUGCCAGCCGCCGCAGUAAAAC
This 527-nucleotide ribosomal RNA is filed under the name uncultured bacterium. Its description in RNAcentral is "bacterial SSU rRNA". It matches the Rfam family "Bacterial small subunit ribosomal RNA", at positions 28 to 526 of the family's 1533-position model. The record is from RNAcentral.